Molecule: transfer RNA, 92 nt
Filed under: Nemania serpens
Lineage: Eukaryota; Fungi; Ascomycota; Sordariomycetes; Xylariales; Xylariaceae
Description: tRNA-Ser
Rfam family: tRNA
About the family: Transfer RNA (tRNA) molecules are approximately 80 nucleotides in length. Their secondary structure includes four short double-helical elements and three loops (D, anti-codon, and T loops). Further hydrogen bonds mediate the characteristic L-shaped molecular structure. tRNAs have two regions of fundamental functional importance: the anti-codon, which is responsible for specific mRNA codon recognition, and the 3' end, to which the tRNAs corresponding amino acid is attached (by aminoacyl-tRNA synthetases). tRNAs cope with the degeneracy of the genetic code in two manners: having more than one tRNA (with a specific anti-codon) for a particular amino acid; and 'wobble' base-pairing, i.e. permitting non-standard base-pairing at the 3rd anti-codon position.
Source: RNAcentral
GGCUAGGUGGCGGAGUGGUUAACGCGGUAGACUCGAAUCAAAUACGUUAUCUACUUCCUUCGGGAGCGUCUGUUCGAAUCAGGCCCUAGUCG